GACGGAGCAACGCCGCGUGAGUGAUGAAGGUUUUCGGAUCGUAAAACUCUGUUGUUAGGGAAGAACAAGUACCGUUCGAAUAGGGCGGCACCUUGACGGUACCUAACCAGAAAGCCACGGCUAACUACGUGCCAGCAGCCGCGGUAAUACGUAGGUGGCAAGCGUUGUCCGGAAUUAUUGGGCGUAAAGCGCGCGCAGGCGGUUUCUUAAGUCUGAUGUGAAAGCCCCCGGCUCAACCGGGGAGGGUCAUUGGAAACUGGGGAACUUGAGUGCAGAAGAGGAGAGUGGAAUUCCACGUGUAGCGGUGAAAUGCGUAGAGAUGUGGAGGAACACCAGUGGCGAAGGCGACUCUCUGGUCUGUAACUGACGCUGAGGCGCGAAAGCGUGGGGAGCGAACAGGAUUAGAUACCCUGGUAGUCCACGCCGUAAACGAUGAGUGCUAAGUGUUAGAGGGUUUCCGCCCUUUAGUGCUGCAGCAAACGCAUUAAGCACUCCGCCUGGGGAGUACGGUCGCAAGACUGAAACUCAAAGGAAUUGACGGGGGCCCGCACAAGCGGUGGAGCAUGUGGUUUAAUUCGAAGCAACGCGAAGAACCUUACCAGGUCUUGACAUCCUCUGACAACCCUAGAGAUAGGGCUUCCCCUUCGGGGGCAGAGUGACAGGUGGUGCAUGGUUGUCGUCAGCUCGUGUCGUGAGAUGUUGGGUUAAGUCCCGCAACGAGCGCAACCCUUGAUCUUAGUUGCCAGCAUUCAGUUGGGCACUCUAAGGUGACUGCCGGUGACAAACCGGAGGAAGGUGGGGAUGACGUCAAAUCAUCAUGCCCCUUAUGACCUGGGCUACACACGUGCUACAAUGGGCAGAACAAAGGGCAGCGAAGCCGCGAGGCUAAGCCAAUCCCACAAAUCUGUUCUCAGUUCGGAUCGCAGUCUGCAACUCGACUGCGUGAAGCUGGAAUCGCUAGUAAUCGCGGAUCAGCAUGCCGCGGAUGAAUACGUUCCCGGGACCUUGGUACACACCGCCCGUCACACCCACGAGAGUUGUACACCCGCAGGUCGGUGAAGGUUAACCCUU
Molecule: ribosomal RNA, 1071 nt
Filed under: bacterium
Lineage: Bacteria
Description: bacterial SSU rRNA
Rfam family: Bacterial small subunit ribosomal RNA
Source: RNAcentral